AAAGCUCCCUUCGGGGAGUGAAUAAAGUGGCGCACGGGUGAGUAACACGUAAGUAAUCUACCUUCGAGUGGGGAAUAACCCGGGGAAACCCGAGCUAAUACCGCAUAAUGCAGCGGCACCUAAUGGUGACAGUUGUUAAAGGAGCAAUCCGCUUGAAGAGGAGCUUGCGGCAGAUUAGCUUGUUGGUAAGGUAACGGCUUACCAAGGCUACGAUCUGUAUCCGGUCUAAGAGGACGGUCGGACACACUGACACUGAAUAACGGGUCAGACUCCUACGGGAGGCAGCAGUCGGGAAUUUUGGGCAAUGGGGGAAACCCUGACCCAGCAACGCCGCGUGAAGGAUGAAGUAUUUCGGUAUGUAAACUUCGAAAGAAUAGGAAGAAUUAAUGACGGUACUAUUUAUAAGGUCCGGCUAACUACGUGCCAGCAGCCGCGGUAAUACGUAGGGACCAAGCGUUGUUCGGAUUUACUGGGCGUAAAGGGCGCGUAGGCGGCGCGGUAAGUCACUUGUGAAAUCUCUGAGCUUAACUCAGAACGGCCAAGUGAUACUGCAGUGCUAGAGUGUGGAAGGGGCAAUCGGAAUUCUUGGUGUAGCGGUGAAAUGCGUAGAUAUCAAGAGGAACACCUGAGGUGAAGACGGGUUGCUGGGCCAACACUGACGCUGAUGCGCGAAAGCCAGGGGAGCAAACGGGAUUAGAUACCCCGGUAGUCCUGGCCCUAAACGAUGAAUACUUGGUGUCUGGAGUUUUAAUGCUCCGGGUGCCGUCGCUAACGUUUUUAGUAUUCCGCCUGGGGAGUACGCUCGCAAGAGUGAAACUC
Molecule: ribosomal RNA, 819 nt
Filed under: uncultured Bacillota bacterium
Lineage: Bacteria; Bacillati; Bacillota
Description: bacterial SSU rRNA
Rfam family: Bacterial small subunit ribosomal RNA
Source: RNAcentral